Molecule: ribosomal RNA, 440 nt
Filed under: Streptomyces sp. 8LB6
Lineage: Bacteria; Bacillati; Actinomycetota; Actinomycetes; Kitasatosporales; Streptomycetaceae
Description: bacterial SSU rRNA
Rfam family: Bacterial small subunit ribosomal RNA
Source: RNAcentral
AGUUUGAUCCUGGCUCAGGACGAACGCUGGCGGCGUGCUUAACACAUGCAAGUCGAACGAUGAAGCCCUUCGGGGUGGAUUAGUGGCGAACGGGUGAGUAACACGUGGGCAAUCUGCCCUUCACUCUGGGACAAGCCCUGGAAACGGGGUCUAAUACCGGAUAACACUCCUGCCUGCAUGGGUGGGGGUUAAAAGCUCCGGCGGUGAAGGAUGAGCCCGCGGCCUAUCAGCUUGUUGGUGAGGUAGUGGCUCACCAAGGCGACGACGGGUAGCCGGCCUGAGAGGGCGACCGGCCACACUGGGACUGAGACACGGCCCAGACUCCUACGGGAGGCAGCAGUGGGGAAUAUUGCACAAUGGGCGAAAGCCUGAUGCAGCGACGCCGGGUGAGGGAUGACGGCCUUCNGGUUGUAAACCUCNNUCAGCAGGAAGAAGCGAAA